CGGCCCGGUAUACGGUCGGGUGCCCGGCGUGGUCAAGGAUGACUGUCAAUGGUGCAC
This 57-nucleotide unclassified non-coding RNA is filed under the name Enterobacteria phage O276. Its description in RNAcentral is "antiterminator RNA". The record is from RNAcentral. Lineage: Duplodnaviria; Heunggongvirae; Uroviricota; Caudoviricetes; Zimmerviridae.